GGAUGUGAGGGCAAUCUGGCUGUGACAUCUGUCACCCCAUUGAUCUCCACAGUUGAUUCAGCUGCUCUGGCUGGCUAGGCGGGUGUCCCUUUCCUCCCUCACCGCUCCAUGUGUGUCCCUCUUGAAGCUGUGCGCUAGGACAAAAAGGACGACCAACCCAAUAGAGGAGGAUGGUUUCCUCCCCAUCAAGGGUGUAAGAGUAGCUGCGCUUGCCUGUUAGAACCUCCAAACAAGCUCUCGAGAAGGAAAUUUAACACAUCAUAUUCAACUCCAUUUACUAUUUCAAAAAUACCAGAACACCCUUUGCUGUAAGUAUAU
Molecule: unclassified non-coding RNA, 318 nt
Organism: Fukomys damarensis (Damara mole-rat)
Lineage: Eukaryota; Metazoa; Chordata; Mammalia; Rodentia; Bathyergidae
Gene: 7SK
Rfam family: 7SK RNA
About the family: 7SK was discovered as an abundant small nuclear RNA in the mid-70s but a possible function has only recently been suggested.
Source: Ensembl